GCCUGGUGGGCAAGCACCCGGGCUCAGUCCCCGUGAGGGUGCCUCUGAAGCCUCAGCCCCCUGGGUUCGAUCCUCAGCACCAUAUAAAACUAAAUAAAUAAACAAAAUAAGGGUAUUGUGUCUUACCGAAAAAUAAAUAUUUUUUUUAAAAAGAAAUAAAGAAAAAGCUUCCUAUAGAGAUCAUUUCUGCAAAAAAUAUAUUUUGAAAAUAAUUUUGUACUACAAAACUCAAAGCUUAACUUUUUCUAAAAUGAACUUUAAAAAAACACUAUGACUAUGAUAAAUAUUCAGUGCCUAUCACUUUGUAAUAAAACAGGUACAAGCAUCCAAGCACACUACACAACAACAUUCUGCAUUUAAUCCAAGGGGGAAUCCUGUCCCCUCUUGUGAUUUUUUUCCAUAUAGUAAUUUGUUAUUAAAUCUAUCUCAAGGUGCCAUUUGUGAGACCCCCCCAAAACCAAACCAUUAAUCAGAAUUAAUGACAAGAGAAAGAUAAAAGCACACAGCCAUCCUUGGGUGACAGUAGCCUGUUAUACAAAUCAGAAAGCUGUAAAAACCAUAGACACUGUAAUUUUGUAAAGACUGGCAGGGGGGAAAAAAAAGAAAAAGAAAAUAAUUUUGUAGCAUAUUUCUAGUCCCUUUUUUCAAAUGAACCAAUGAUACUUUCUUUGGUCUCCAAGGUAGCAUUUCAGAAAAGAGACAAAACAGCUGUUACCAUCGGUGUUUCCAGAACUAACCUGACUGUCUUAAGAGGCUGACUUCUGGAAGGAGCCAGGGUUAGUGCUGACGCUGUUGGGGCCACGCCGAGCAACUCAUUUUCCUCCCCAUGAAGACCUACUGGGUGGCUGCGAUUCAUGACGCAGAGCACGUGUGCUGUGGCUUGGCUCUUAGUCAAGCUUCCGCGGUGUCCAGUGUCCUCGGGGCAGGGCCCGUGCAAAAGAAAUGCUCAACGCGUCAUCUUUCACUGCGUAGCUGCCUUUACAGUCUUAGGAUGUCCUUGACAGAUUAAAACUGGUAACGCACCGGCUUAUGCAAGCUCUUCUUUUCAACAAUUUUGCCAAGAGUUUUGUAUCGACCAUAAACAGGGAUUCCUCACAACCCCCAAGGUCAAGCCACUGUGGAACGAGCUCAUUUAUCCAUUAAGCUACAAUUACAAAAACUAAAAAGGGGGAGAUAGGACUAGGACUCCCCAAAACAACCUCAAUCAUGCUCUGUUCAUUCUGAAUUUUCUAAACUGUGACUCAGAGAAUCACACCGCAGCCGAGCGACACGUGGCUUCCACAGCAACAGGCCCUUUAGGCCGGGUUUGGUGGAAGGACUUACCGACUGGCCAAUGGAGAGGACCAGGUCCAGUUGUCAUGUGGGGAGAGGUCAUGCGUGUAUUUUCCCAGAAGAUGCUUCUUGUCCUAUUUGGGAACCUGAAUGCGCCAUCAGGCAUGGAGGACCUAGAACCAAGAUUCAAACCGCUGAAGAUGGACCCAGAGAACCCUUCCCUCAAAAGGAAGAACUCCCAAAGGAAGAGGGGAAGAAAGAUGUCCCCGAGAAACUGAAUGAGGACGCUCCCGUCACGGAAGGACCCAGGAGACUGACUCCACGGCAGGGGAGAGUGAGUCCCCAGCGACGAUGCUCUCUGCAGUGACCCUCCAUUGAGCUGUGGUAAAGGGGAAUCGGGGGAACCACUGGACAUGGCUCCAGCCCACCCUGAGUGCACCCAGCGGUGUGGACUGGAGAAUGCACCCAGGACUUACUAAUGACUCAGGUACGCUGGGAGGGUUUGCAGACACCCACUUGACUCGGUCCGUGUGACGGGAUUUAACUAUUCUGCCUAUAGUGCCCAACUACCUUGGCUGGUCCCACGAUAGACAUGCUGGCUGUCUAAAAGUGUCAUUUGAGGAAAAGACAGGAGUUGGGGACCUAGACCAGCUAAUGGCACUGCCCCCAGGGCCUUAAAGCCUUAGAUCAGAUCAGUUAUUAAAACAGGACUUUCUCAUAACAACCCAGCCACCUCAGCAGAACGCCCACGAGUACCCACUGUCCCAACUGUUCUGCAGUAGAAGUUGGCACCUUUCCUAAGUGGGCAAACUGUGUAAGUACUUGUCCAAUUCGACAUAAGGUGUCUAGAACAGUGGGUCCACCUUGGACUGGUCUCCUAAAAUCGACAAAAGGCUGUUGUGCAAGGGCACUGCCACGACCCCUGGAGGAUUUGUUAGCACCAUCCUGACCUUCAGUGAAGGUGGCAUUCAGAAAGGUGUCUGGUGCCUACAUCUUGCUGACCGACCUUUACCAGAGUUCGUCGGCAGAAACUGGAAGGAAGGUCCUUGCUCUGGCCUACGGGCCUGUGUUCGGUCUCCUUAGGUUUUAAUCACUGGACGUGGGAAGUGGGAAGGAGAGGUGACAGAUACCUUGUGACAUGUGAUAAAGGUAAUCUGAAUGACUCUAUCACCAGGUGUAUAAGGGGAGGAAUGCAGAUGCUCCUCAGCCCUCUUUUGUCUCGUUGCCAGCGAUUAUUUCAGGGCCGUGGUGCGCCGAUGCUGGUUCUCAGGUCUUAAACACACACACGCCCAGUGAGCGAGACCAACGUGCUCCUGGACCCGUGACAGUGGGAGCUGUUGCCUCGGUUUCCAGCUCCGGUGGCCUUAUCUGAAAACAUUCAGCAUGCAGAUUUUCUUAAUGCUUUGGCUCAGAUUUCUUCCAAGGCUCUUCAUAGUCAAAUAAAUAUUGAUGAAAGGACUGAGACUAAGCCAGAUGCCUUAGAGGCUACUGUCAUAAAUACUGGUCAUGAGCUUGCAGCUUUGAAAUUCAAGGAAACACUUCAAUGUCACGCGGACUGUAAGUCUGUGGGUGUUACUGCUGCCGAAUACACGGCUCCCCAACGGGGUUGGGAGAAGGUUGACAACCAUUUGUUGGGUAUUUGGCAAAAUAAUAAUAACAGCUUGGAUCUUUUGGAGUUACAUCAUCACAUUCAAGAAAUACAAAAAAGUGAGAUUGAUUUUUCGGCUCCUGCUUCCUUAGCUGAUCAAAUAUUAAAAGAAUUAAACGGCUUUAACCCUGAAACAUUCUGAAACACUCUGCCUGGUCUAUCCUUGUCUUGUUCUCUUUGCUGCGGAUUCUCUCUUAUAUUGUCAUUGUAGGAGGAGAUCCUUCAGAACAUGGAUUCAGGGACUCGAAACAGUGACCCAUCACCUGCUUUUACAAAGAAAGCAGGGGGAACAUGUGGGAGCCACUCUGAACGAUUUGCCCCUUCCAUCCUGGAGCAGAGAGGCUCUGACCACCACUGCAUCUCCUGGUGACCUGGACAUUGCCCCGCCCUGGAAGUUUGAGGACGCAUCUUCAGACAUAGGUGUGUCGCCCCAUGGCCCUUUGGACGAAUUACACUCACCUGUCCCUUGUAACCCUGCCCCUUCUGGCCUUUUGUGGAUGGAACUUUCUAAGAAUAAGGUCCCCCCAAUAAAAGCCCACUUAUGAACGUGC
This is a long non-coding RNA of Marmota monax (woodchuck), 3471 nucleotides long. RefSeq lists it as uncharacterized. The transcript is spliced from 3 exons. The record is from RefSeq and is a predicted model, not a curated record. Lineage: Eukaryota; Metazoa; Chordata; Mammalia; Rodentia; Sciuridae.